This 75-nucleotide transfer RNA is filed under the name Flavobacteriales bacterium. Its description in RNAcentral is "tRNA-Gln". It matches the Rfam family "tRNA". From Rfam's summary of the family: Transfer RNA (tRNA) molecules are approximately 80 nucleotides in length. Their secondary structure includes four short double-helical elements and three loops (D, anti-codon, and T loops). Further hydrogen bonds mediate the characteristic L-shaped molecular structure. tRNAs have two regions of fundamental functional importance: the anti-codon, which is responsible for specific mRNA codon recognition, and the 3' end, to which the tRNAs corresponding amino acid is attached (by aminoacyl-tRNA synthetases). tRNAs cope with the degeneracy of the genetic code in two manners: having more than one tRNA (with a specific anti-codon) for a particular amino acid; and 'wobble' base-pairing, i.e. permitting non-standard base-pairing at the 3rd anti-codon position. The record is from RNAcentral. Lineage: Bacteria; Pseudomonadati; Bacteroidota; Flavobacteriia; Flavobacteriales.
UGCCCCAUCGUCUAAUUGGCAGGACAGCUGAUUUUGGUUCAGUCAGUCUAGGUUCGAGUCCUAGUGGGGCAACUA